UGCAUUGAUUUACCUUCUUUCAGCAUGGGGAGUUUUGUGCAUAGUGUGCAACUUGGAGCAUGGCUUGAUGUGUUGGGCUUUGUUUUGGGACAGGAUCAAAGUAAACACUUUGGAUCAAAAGUUUCAGAUGACAUGUUUCACAGAUGCCAAGUCAGUGACUUUGCCAGAGUGCCAUGUGGAGACCCUGGUAUUACGAAUGCUGACUGUGAAGCUCUCAACUGCUGCUUUGAUCAACAGUGCUAUUCUUGAAGGCCGCAGUGACGGUAAAGCUACAAAUGCUGACCAAUCCAUAUAAUGAAGAAAUUGAAUUUCUCAGGAGGGAGGUCCAUUGUACCAGGGAAGCGUUCCAAGGAAAAGGCUGUAGUUUCCUAUAAGGCAGUGAUGGUAACCAAAUCAGAACUGACAGCCUUUGAUCAGAGGCUUCAUGUGUCACAAUCUCUUGGUUUUGGUCUCCUGGGAGUGGCUGCCUGUGUACUAGUCUCCACCCUGGCACUGGCUGUGUAUGUUAAACGAUCCCGUCUGGAACAGAAGGUGUGACUUAAAGAUAAAGCUCUUAUGGAAAAUAAUGUGGUCUGUCUUCCUGGUAAAGAACUGGGGCAUGUUGAUUCAGUUGGCAAAAUGCAGGGAUUGGAUGGUGGCUCUUCGGCCUCUUGCUGUAUAGGUACUGGGCCAUCAGGAUCUCUUGAUGGCCCAGUUUAAAUGUGUCACUAGCAAUCUUAGGGGAAAUUUUAACCUAGAAGUGGAUUCCACUGUCUGGACUGAUUAAUCCUACCUUUCGUUUUGUUAUUGGAAAUUUCAGUGACCAAUAUCCAAUAACAAAAUGUUUUGGGCCCAUGUUUAAGUGCUUGAAUGAUUCAUUUUUACACCAGCUUUGUGCUCCAUAAGCAACCAACCCUGAUAAACCACACCUCAUUCAGCGGCUACAAGAUCUUUGAGCUGCUGCUUAGACUCCAGUGUGCCAAAUUGAGAUUGAAAUGAAGACUUGCAAGACUCUAGAUCUGUAGGAACAGGGUUGGAUGGCACUGAUGCACACUAGAACAUCUGAUAAAUCAGUGGUGCCUAAUCUGUGUGCUAUGGAGGAGCGCUGGUUCUCCAACUUCUCUAAUCUUUCACUAACACUCCUUCAACCAGAGAUGGGAACCCUUUAGUGAAAUCAGCCAGUGUAGUGAUUGGUUGGAAUGAAAGCCUGUAUAAAC
Conger conger (European conger) is the source of this 1196-nucleotide long non-coding RNA. RefSeq lists it as uncharacterized. The record is from RefSeq and is a predicted model, not a curated record. Lineage: Eukaryota; Metazoa; Chordata; Actinopteri; Anguilliformes; Congridae. The transcript is spliced from 3 exons.